UCACCUCCAAAGGCAAUUCUCCCGACCAAAAAACUGAAGCAGGCCAGAACUUUCAGGACACUUUGCGACGGCCAAUCAAUUUUAGUGUGGAAACCCGUGUCGGCCAAGCAAUUUUAGUGUGGAAACUUCAGGGCCCCGUUCAGAUUCUCAAACAGUCUUACCUCACCCAUUACGUCAGCCCAAACAAACCCCCCACUCUGCUACUAUAAAUCACACCAUCUGCAGUCCCAUUCUUCAUUUCCUCUCUUAGAGUACUAUCAUUCAUUCUCUUAGCUUCACNNNN
RNAcentral lists this long non-coding RNA (283 nucleotides) under Vitis vinifera (wine grape). RNAcentral describes it as "long non-coding RNA (VVIN_LNC007349)". The record is from RNAcentral. Lineage: Eukaryota; Viridiplantae; Streptophyta; Magnoliopsida; Vitales; Vitaceae.